This 1809-nucleotide long non-coding RNA is filed under the name Chlamydomonas reinhardtii. RNAcentral describes it as "long non-coding RNA (CREI_LNC001423)". Lineage: Eukaryota; Viridiplantae; Chlorophyta; Chlorophyceae; Chlamydomonadales; Chlamydomonadaceae. The record is from RNAcentral.
CCUGGGUGGCGACGGCAGCCGCCCCUUUAUCGGCUUCCUCGUUGCCGUGUAGCCCGGUGUGCGAGAUCACUUUAAUUAGAGCGGUGGGUGCGCCCCGGGCGUGGCGUGCAUGGAGCAAUGCCACGAUUGAAUCCAGGAGGUCCCGAUGUUUACUCAGAUGCAGUCGCCGAGGCUCGUUAAUAGCUCGUUUGAUUAGGUACAAGCUUGCAACAGAAUCUGAUGCAAUAGUGAGCUUCUUAGUUGCAAAUUCUUUACCUUCGCCACCAAAUUCUGCGAGGGCAGCACGAAUUGCUGCCAGUUCAGCUCUCGUAAUAGUGUUUGUGCACCCAGCGCCAUUUGGAUUCACGUAGACAACGCGAGAAUCGCUGAACCAGGCGCAGGCACCGGCAACCUGGACUUCUUUGCCAUUUCAGUUUUGAUUUUGCUUACCGAACCAUCUGUCCAGACAGUGCCAUUCACGUCGUGGGCCAGAGCAUGGUGGGUCUGGAAUCGCGCGUUAGGAAAGCGUCGUGCUUUUUCAGCCAUGGCGUGUAUCGUCUUUGGGUUAGCGUGCUGGUAUUUGGCUUGCUUUAGAAGUGAGUUUGGGAGGGCCGGGCAGGUCGGGGCCGUGGCCGUGUGUGUCCACGUGCGCGGGUCGCUGAUGUGCGUGGGUGCGUUCGCCCCCCGUUUCAGUGUGUCCACGAGCCGUUUCAGGCGGGGGGCAAAGCACUGGAGUCCGGCGGGGUUCCCAACAAUGACCAGUCGGAGCCCCUUCUGGCGUUCAGCCUGGGUGUUGGUGCCAAGUCCUGUGUCGAGGCCCGCGGUGCCCGCGGACCAGUUGGCCAGCUCGUGGCAAAGUGGGUGUUGAAGCCACUGCGUGUGGGGGAAAGUGGCCGCUUUGGGGAGCGCCAAUACAGUAAGGGUUGGUUCCUGUGAGUCACGCAUAGCCUCGGCGCAUGCGAGGGCCCACAUGAGCGCCUUCCGUGCAUCGUGGGGGGUAGAGGGGGGGUGGGCAUAUUGCAAGCCGGUCCAUGCGGUCUGGUAGGCAUCGUGCAGUGCGCCAAAGGUCCCAUCAGCAGGGUCUCGUGUCCAGUAUUCGUGGGCUGCAGUGGAGGAGUUUAGUGGGGACGCAAACAUUUCCCGAAUGUGUACUGCUUGUGUGACCCGCAGGCAUUGGACGAUGGCUGCUACUGUGCCUGCCGGCAGCGACACCUGGUGCAUUGGCAUGGCCUUGCGGUCCUGCUGCGCCGGGUCAUAGCGGUAGCGCAUGAUGAGGGCAGCGACCGCUUCCUCAAAGGCGUUGGGCCGCUGGUUGCCGGUGUGCCUGAAGCGCUCCCACAGGGUAAGGAGGCGGGGGUAGGUGAUGGUGCCCAGCCAGCGGCCACUGGGUUCAUGGACGUGUGCCUCAGCUGGGUCACGGCGGGUGCCACCAGUGGUGGUAAUUGUGUAUGCUCCGGGGGCCACGAUGUCCUUGUAGGGGUUGCACGGGCUUGUGGUGAUGGUGGUGGUCGUGCGGAUGUCACGCGCGCGGGAUGCGGUAUCCAGGGGCUCGGCGUCGUGGCGGCCUUGGCGCUGUCUGGCGGUAAGGUUCCGAUCAGGUGCGGGGCGCACUGUUCGGGGCCGCGGGCCUUGGUUGGUACCGUUUGCUAGCCGGGUUUUGCACUCCUCCAGUAACUCCUCCCAUUGUGGACUGUGUUUUAGGUCCCGUUCACGGUCCGUGCUCGGCGCCCACGUGACAUGUCGCAGGAGUUUGGUCGUCCAGGACGAGAAUAGGGGGGCCCCAGUGGGCUGCGGUGCUGCCGGCUCUGCAGCUUGGGCAGGCUCUUCAGG